Molecule: long non-coding RNA, 518 nt
Filed under: Androctonus crassicauda
Lineage: Eukaryota; Metazoa; Arthropoda; Arachnida; Scorpiones; Buthidae
Source: RNAcentral
CCAAGUGAUCUUUCAGUUUAAGCCUAAUAUGACAAUAAACAUGCCAAUCAUUAUGGUUUUAUUUAUUAGUCAAAAUUUAGAAAAUAUUCAUCAAAUAAAUUGGAAUAAAUUUAUGUAAUUCUCAAAUCUUCAUUUUGCUAAAUUACUUGUAAAAGCAAAUCUUAUUUUAUGAAAAUUAAUAUUGGUAUUUUUAAUUCUAAGUUGAAAUUCAUUAGUUGUGGAUUUUGUUAUGAUAAUUACUUUAAUAAAACUAAUGCACAAAAUAAUCUACUUAAAUACAAUUGGUUAGAUUUAACAUAUUCCAAUAGAAUACAGGGCUCGACAAACCCGGUAGCCAAUUGCUACCAGAAUUUCCAUUUUGGCUACCGCUUACAAACAAGUGAUAGCUAUUUGGCCACCAGCUAAUGCAAACAGCUGAUUGUAGCGACUCUGAUAUUGUAAAGGUGGCCAUAGUCCUAAUUAUAUUUAAAAUCUGAAUCUUUAGGACAAAUUUCUUCCCUGUAUGCUUUAAAUUUACC